GAUGAACGCUGGCGGCGUGCCUAAUACAUGCAAGUCGAGCGAACAGAUAAGGAGCUUGCUCCUUUGACGUUAGCGGCGGACGGGUGAGUAACACGUGGGUAACCUACCUAUAAGACUGGGAUAACUUCGGGAAACCGGGGCUAAUGCAGGAUAACAUGUUGAACCGCAUGGUUCUACAGUGAAAGGCGGCUUUGCUGUCACUUAUAGAUGGAUCCGCGCCGUAUUAGCUAGUUGGUGAGGUAACGGCUCACCAAGGCAACGAUACGUAGCCGACCUGAGAGGGUGAUCGGCCACACUGGAACUGAGACACGGUCCAGACUCCUACGGGAGGCAGCAGUAGGGAAUCUUCCGCAAUGGGCGAAAGCCUGACGGAGCAACGCCGCGUGAGUGAUGAAGGUCUUCGGAUCGUAAAACUCUGUUAUUAGGGAAGAACAAAUGCGUAAGUAACUGUGCGCGUCUUGACGGUACCUAAUCAGAAAGCCACGGCUAACUACGUG
Molecule: ribosomal RNA, 497 nt
Filed under: uncultured bacterium
Lineage: Bacteria
Description: partial 16S ribosomal RNA
Rfam family: Bacterial small subunit ribosomal RNA
Source: RNAcentral